GCAGGUCGUUAGACCUUGCUUCGAAAUGCAAAUUAGCCACAAAGAGAUUGUGUAUAGGCAGCGGCUUGGAUGGCGGCGGAGAAGAAGGUUUCUCAGUCUUUGGCUUAGCCCAUGCAAGUCUCAAAGGUCUACCCUCAAGUUCAUACGCUUCAAGAUUUUCAAGAACGGCCUUAGCUUCCUCAUGUGAGCCCAUUGUGACAAAGACUAAACCCCUGCU
RNAcentral lists this unclassified non-coding RNA (217 nucleotides) under Hevea brasiliensis (rubber tree). The record is from RNAcentral. Lineage: Eukaryota; Viridiplantae; Streptophyta; Magnoliopsida; Malpighiales; Euphorbiaceae.